This 489-nucleotide long non-coding RNA is filed under the name Bos taurus (domestic cattle). RNAcentral's name for it is "long non-coding RNA NONBTAT025596". The stretch from base 315 to 384 matches the Rfam family "Small nucleolar RNA SNORD50". Lineage: Eukaryota; Metazoa; Chordata; Mammalia; Artiodactyla; Bovidae. The record is from RNAcentral.
CAUAGCUGCUAGGUUAAGAAAUUGAUUCUCCCGCAGAAACAAUGGAUUUCGGUGUAGCGGAACUGUUACGUGGAGAUGCUAAGGUAAUUGUUGAGAGCUUAGUUUUAAGUUGAAGGAAUAAACCUGUUGAUUUACAGGUUGAUCAACCUGUAAAGAUGAUGCAGCAUUCUGCAGGUUGAUGAAUACUAAUGAAGCUGUGGAUGUCACUGAGCAGCUUCAUUUUAAAGUAAGUUACCCUGACUUACAUCUGCUGCAGUAAUUCUGUCUGGUUUGUGGUAAAUGUCCGUGUAAUGUAGCAUAAUGGAUUUUGGUCUGAUCAAUGAUGAACCCUAUCCCGAAGCUGAUAACCUGAAGAAAAGCAUGUACGGAUUCGGCUUCUGAGACAAGACUAAUGUUCAGAUAUGAGAACAAGUUUUAUAACAGAUUUCUGUUAGGUUAUGUCUCAUAGAGGAAAAACUUAAUUCACAGAGUGGGGUUUUCUGUGCCAAC